RNAcentral lists this long non-coding RNA (281 nucleotides) under Homo sapiens (human). RNAcentral's name for it is "HSALNT0102745". Lineage: Eukaryota; Metazoa; Chordata; Mammalia; Primates; Hominidae. The record is from RNAcentral.
CAUCUGUGGAUGAGACAAGCACAGUGCCAGGCACUUGGAAAUGUUUGAUACCCAAAAUGACAGAGUCCAUUUGCCAACUCACAGCUAGAGGCAAAGAAAUCAUUACCCACUCGGAAAAGGGGCCCAUAGUUGCAUCUGGUGAUUAUUCUCUAUUUCAUACGAUGCUUUCCCUGAGGCCUCAGUCUUCUACUGAAAAUAUUUUAAUUGUAAUUAUAAAGUCAUGACCAUCCACAUGUAUAGCUGGUUUGCUUCAAUUAGAAGUCACUGCAACCAAAAAACAA